Molecule: ribosomal RNA, 1499 nt
Filed under: uncultured prokaryote
Description: partial 16S ribosomal RNA
Rfam family: Bacterial small subunit ribosomal RNA
Source: RNAcentral
AGAGUUUGAUCAUAGCUCAGAUUGAACGCUGGCGGCAGGCCUAACACAUGCAAGUCGAGCGAGAAAGCACUUCGGUGUGAGUAGAGCGGCGGACGGGUGAGUAACGCGUAGGAAUUUGCCCAGUAGUGGGGGACAACAUGUGGAAACGCAUGCUAAUACCGCAUACGCCCUAAGGGGGAAAGCAGGGGAUCUUCGGACCUUGCGCUAUUGGAGAAGCCUGCGUCGGAUUAGCUAGUUGGUGGGGUAAAGGCCCACCAAGGCGACGAUCCGUAGCUGGUCUGAGAGGAUGAUCAGCCACACUGGGACUGAGACACGGCCCAGACUCCCGCGGGAGGCAGCAGUGGGGAAUAUUGGACAAUGGGCGAAAGCCUGAUCCAGCCAUGCCGCGUGUGUGAAGAAGGCCUUAGGGUUGUAAAGCACUUUCAGUAGGGAGGAAAAGUUAGCCGCUAUUAACGACUAACUAACCCUGACGUGACCUACAGAAGAAGCACCGGCAAACUCCGUGCCAGCAGCCGCGGUAGUACGGAGGGUGCAAGCGUUAAUCGGAAUUACUGGGCGUAAAGCGCGCGUAGGCGGUUAGUUAAGUCGGAUGUGAAAGCCCUGGGCUCAACCUAGGAACUGCAUUCGAUACUGGCUAACUAGAGUAUGAAAGAGGGAGGUAGAAUUCCAUGUGUAGCGGUGAAAUGCGUAGAUAUGUGGAGGAAUACCAGUGGCGAAGGCGGCCUCCUGGUUCAAUACUGACGCUGAGGUGCGAAAGCGUGGGGAGCAAACAGGAUUAGAUACCCUGGUAGUCCACGCCGUAAACGAUGUCUACUAGCCGUUGGGAGACUUGAUUUCUUAGUGGCGCAGCUAACGCACUAAGUAGACCGCCUGGGAGUACGGUCGCAAGGUUAAAACUCAAAUGAAUUGACGGGGGCCCGCACAAGCGGUGUAGCAUGUGGUUUAAUUCGAUGCAACGCGAAGAACCUUACCAGGUCUUGACAUCCUGAAAACUUUCUAGAGAUAGAUUGGUGCCUUCGGGAACGCAGUGACAGGUGCUGCAUGGGCUGUCGUCAGCUCGUGUUGUGAAAUGUUGGGUUAAGUCCCGUAACGAGCGCAACCCUUGUCCUUAUUUGCCAGCGAGUUAUGUCGGGAACUUUAAGGAGACUGCCGGUGACAAACCGGAGGAAGGUGGGGACGACGUCAAGUCAUCAUGGCCCUUACGACCUGGGCUACACACGUGCUACAAUGGAACGCACAAAGGGCAGCGAACCCGCGAGGGGGAGCGAAUCCCAUAAAACGUUUCGUAGUCCGGAUCGCAGUCUGCAACUCGACUGCGUGAAGUCGGAAUCGCUAGUAAUCGUGAAUCAGAAUGUCACGGUGAAUACGUUCCCGGGCCUUGUACACACCGCCCGUCACACCAUGGGAGUGGGUUGCUCCAGAAGUGGUUAGCCUAACCUUCGGGAGGGCGAUCACCACGGAGUGAUUCAUGACUGGGGUGAAGUCGUAACAAGGUAACC